UUCAGAAAAACCUUGAUAUCAUUUUCCCGUGGGUCCCAGACUAUUCUUGACUCAACCAUACUUGCCAGCACUUGCUUGAGCUUGGCCGUACUGUAGAUAAACUCAUGUCCUUUCCGUUUUAUUUUGAUGUACGGCAUGGGGUUCAGUUGUGCGAGCAUCAGCACGGGCUGGUACGGGAGUAUUACUUUCCCGAACUUUUGUUGGGCCUGGCUUGCGAUGG
RNAcentral lists this ribosomal RNA (220 nucleotides) under uncultured eukaryote. RNAcentral describes it as "partial small subunit ribosomal RNA". The record is from RNAcentral.